UACGUAGGUGGCAAGCGUUAUCCGGAAUUAUUGGGCGUAAAGCGCGCGCAGGCGGCCUUUUAAGUCUGAUGUGAAAGCCCACGGCUCAACCGUGGAAGGUCAUUGGAAACUGAGAGGCUUGAGUACAGAAGAGGAAAGCGGAAUUCCACGUGUAGCGGUGAAAUGCGUAGAGAUGUGGAGGAACACCAGUGGCGAAGGCGGCUUUC
This 206-nucleotide ribosomal RNA is filed under the name uncultured bacterium. RNAcentral's name for it is "partial 16S ribosomal RNA". It matches the Rfam family "Bacterial small subunit ribosomal RNA", at positions 524 to 729 of the family's 1533-position model. The record is from RNAcentral.